GAUGAACGCUGGCGGCGUGCCUAAUACAUGCAAGUCGAACGCUGAAGGAGGAGCUUGCUCUUCUGGAUGAGUUGCGAACGGGUGAGUAACGCGUAGGUAACCUGCCUGGUAGCGGGGGAUAACUAUUGGAAACGAUAGCUAAUACCGCAUGACAACAGUUAUUGCAUGAUAACUGUUUAAAAGGGGCAACUGCUCCACUACCAGAUGGACCUGCGUUGUAUUAGCUAGUUGGUGAGGUAACGGCUCACCAAGGCGACGAUACAUAGCCGACCUGAGAGGGUGAUCGGCCACACUGGGACUGAGACACGGCCCAGACUCCUACGGGAGGCAGCAGUAGGGAAUCUUCGGCAAUGGACGGAAGCCUGACCGAGCAACGCCGCGUGAGUGAAGAAGGUCUUCGGAUCGUAAAGCUCUGUUGUAAGAGAAGAACGAGUGUGAGAGUGGAAAGUUCACACUGUGACGGUAUCUUACAAGAAAGGGACGGCUAACUACGU
This 494-nucleotide ribosomal RNA is filed under the name uncultured bacterium. Its description in RNAcentral is "partial 16S ribosomal RNA". It matches the Rfam family "Bacterial small subunit ribosomal RNA", at positions 28 to 506 of the family's 1533-position model. The record is from RNAcentral.